Long non-coding RNA from Phycodurus eques (leafy seadragon), 2931 nucleotides. RefSeq lists it as uncharacterized. The transcript is spliced from 3 exons. NCBI's taxonomy places the organism in Eukaryota, Metazoa, Chordata, Actinopteri, Syngnathiformes, Syngnathidae. The record is from RefSeq and is a predicted model, not a curated record.
UUAUGUAUCCUGUCUUAUAUUGUCUUGUAGAUGUAUUCUACUGCUUUUUGACAUCACGGCCAGGGGACUACAGAUGAAAACUCGCCUUCUGGCUAAUUUUGCCUUUUUUAACCAUGUGUACUUCAUGUGUUUUAUGAAAUUGCAUUGUCCCCUUUCAAAAAUAAACUGAACUGGGAUGUCGUUGAUCUUUGUCAACUGGGGGCCUUUGAAUCAAAUCAAAUUGUAUUUAUAUCAGACUUUUCAUACACUAAAAAUGCAACACAAUGUGCUUCACAAGGAUAAAAAUAGCAGAAAAUAUAGAAAAACCCAACCCUCCCACACCAGUGCUCCCCUACGGACACACACACCCUCACGUGUACACACGCACAGCACAUAUUGAAUAAUAGUGCGGAGACAAGGCAAGGCACUGAGGAUACGGGUCAGGAAAGACAACAUCCACGCCGAGAGGUGCCACAGCCCGUAGCCACAGAGACCACCGGACCCUCCGCAUUGUGCAGAGCGCCAGUCUUCCGGGUCCAGGGAAACUACAGGGCGGACCGAACACAACUCUCAGCGUGUGGGCUCACAUGCGGAGAGACUGGAGUUGAACUUAAAAAGAUUCAAAGACAAUCGAACCGGGAAAAAACGGAAGGAUAAUCGAUCGAUCAAUAAAUGUCUGAAUAAAAUCAGUUAAAAGCUAAACCAAACAGUUGAGUCUCGAGACGCUUGUGAUUAAACGCUGUACAAAUAGACUCGACUUACACUUGUUGGUGUCCCUCAAGGGGAGAUUCAACUUCCACUCUGCUUUACUUUGUGUUGCACACCCCAUUACACACAUACAGGCAUGCAAGCAGAGAUUCAGAGGGAAAGAGAUGCGCAAAGAGCGCUGCGCCACUUGAACUACAGUGGUGGGGAAGAUACCUCGACAGUAGCCAGCGAGCAGACUGGCAUCUCUCCAGUAACUAGUUGCCAUUUUUCCAUUUUGACUUGAACCCAUGUCCUUAGACUCCAUAGACAAAGUUCUUACAGACUGAGCUACUGCCUUCCCAGGAAGUCAGUAAGACCAAAGAACACCUGGAGGAGGUCAGAAAAGGCAGCGCUCGAGGAAACUCGAGUAUCCUGGAAGGAGCUGAAGGAGCUCGUCCGGGACCAAAGAUUCACAAUUGACCUCAGCGACCCGAAGAGCAAAAGGGUUGAAAUAACAGUGUCAGUCUUCAGUCUCCAAACCCUACAAUCCCAUUGGACAAACAUUCCAAAGUGCAGGAAGCAGCGUCCACUUUAGACCCAAGUGCAAAUCAAUUACGUUCAUAUGAUUCUACAAAGUGCAACACUAAUAAUAUCCAAUUUUGGAUCGCUCAAUAAAAAGCAUGAAGAUGGAGAAAGUACUCACCACAGUCAGUCGAGUCGGUUUUUUUGAUACCCUUAGUGGAGCUCGACUAAACUCUUUGUGUUGGUGUCGAUUCUGCUCCAACGUUCUAUGAUGUCUUCCAGCGACAUGGUGAUCGGUAAUAAAGAGCGGAAACCCAACUCUGGUCCCGCCUUCAUUAAGGUGAGGCCUCAAUUAUUUAACUACUUCCCUUUUUUCUGCAGACGAGUAAUUGUUUGCUUAGUGCGUCAAGAAGUGAAUCUUGUCAAACCACAUUUUUUUUAGCAGCCUGCAAUUAAUCAAUUAGAUAACUAACGUCAUAUUGGAUGCUUCUGAAACAGAACAGGUGACUACACAUGGGAAAGCACCGUGCGAUUGUGUUUGCUUGCGCUUGGAAUCAUCAAAUGCUUCCAAGGAAAAGUUUGUCACACGGCAAUGACCAACAGAAUGAGUCCACAAUGGGAUCCCGAGUUUCCUACACCGUCAGGUACCUGUUCUACUUUGGGGCUGGGAAUGUUUGGUCACCUCGCGGCAUCUUGAGUAUCCACCAUCCCCACUCCCACCACCGCAUAAUCACCAACAUCAUGCCCUCUGCCGUCCAAAUCUUUAAAAAAAAAAAAAAAAAAAAAAAGGUUUUGAAUGUACCGGCAUGACCAGAUAACUAGCAACCCUUUAUUGCGCAGGGACUGUUUUCUCAAUGUCUUUAUGCCCCAAAAGUGUUUUCUGUCAAUUGUCUGUUGUCGUACUCGAGCGGCUCCAACUACCGGAGACAAAUUCCUUGUGUGUUUUUUGGACAUACUUGGCAAAUAAAGAUGAUUCUGAUUCUGAUUCUGAAGAACUGACUGGCUAGUUGUGUUCAAGGUUACCUCGUGUCUGAGGAACUGACUGACUGGUUUUGUUUAUGGGUUUUUUCUGUCUCAGGAAGUGACUGGCCGAUUCUGAUCAAGGUUACACACCAUCUGAGACUGAUGAACUGACUGAUUGAUUCUGUUCAAGGUUACUUCCUGUCUCAGGAACAGUCUGGUUCUGGUUCAUUUCUUCCUUGCUGAGGCAGUAACUAACUGGUUCUGAUCCAGUGUUCCCAGUCAAUCGACCGUCUGUCGUCGUACGAGAGCGCCUCCGACGACCGGAGGCAAAUUCCUUGUGUGUUUGUGACGUACUUUGGAAAUAAAGAUGAUACCACAGUCGGGGCCUGUAAAACUGGAAGGCUACCUCAUCGUGGGUGUGUCCUGACUUUAGGAAUGACUAAAAGGCCCCCUGCGGCUCCUCAGGGCCCGCAGGGGUUCACAGGAUAAAAGCAACUGAAAGAUAACGAGGUCUCAGACCAUUAAGACACCUAAAAAUGGAUACUUAGAACACACGGGGAGCCAAUGCAGUGGUUUGCACAAGCGACAUUGUCCCAGAUGAUCGCGCUACUCGUCACUCUCGACCGCAUCCGCUCCUCGAAGUCUCGGCGCCCUUUGCACGAUGGUCAUUGCGCCGGACUAUUGUGAGAUUAGUCAUUCGAAGUGCUCGAAGUGCAAGAGGACAAUUGUCAAAACAAAACAAAAAUAACUAGAAACCUUUGAUUGCUCAGUGACUGUUUU